AAGAGAGAGACAUGCGCGCAUAUCAAUAAGCGGAGGAAAAGAAACUAACAAGGAUUCCCUUAGUAACGGCGAGUGAAGCGGGAAGAGCUCAAAUUUGAAAUCUUCAAGGUUUUACCUUGACGAAUUGUAGUUUAAAGAAGUGUUUUCUGCUGAAGUUUUGGUAAAAGUUCUUUGGAAUAGGACAUCAUAGAGGGUGAGAAUCCCGUAUUUGACCAUUAUUUUCAGCUUUGUGAUACACUUUCAAAGAGUCGGAUUGUUUGGGAAUGCAGUCCAAAAUGGGUGGUAAAUUUCAUCUAAAGCUAAAUAUUGGCGAGAGACCGAUAGCGAACAAGUACCGUGAGGGAAAGAUGAAAAGAACUUUGAAAAGAGAGUUAAACAGUACGUGAAAUUGUCAAAAGGGAAGCGUUUGACACCAGUGUUGUUUUCUCGAAAAUCAAUUAAAAAUGGCUCGAUUUUGUAUUGCUUGAGACCUUAAAAGCUCACUGUACAUUUUUCGUGUCUUUUUUAAUGCACUUUUCGUUUAACAAGUCAACAUCAGUUUCUUUUGUUGUAAAAGGGUCAUUGGAAGGUGGCUUUCUUUUCGGAGAAAGUGUUUAUAGCCUUUGGCCUCUGCAAUCGGAGAGACUGAGGUCUGCAGCGUAGACUCUUCGGGGUUAGAUGACAUUUGUGCUAAGUUAUAGCUUUUUAUAGACAACUUGUUGACUAUAAUUAGUCUUGUAGCUUACUCGCUUAUGCUAUUUUACCUACGCUUAGGAUGUUGAGUCGUAGAGCACGCAG
RNAcentral lists this ribosomal RNA (777 nucleotides) under uncultured Neocallimastigales. RNAcentral describes it as "partial large subunit ribosomal RNA". It matches the Rfam family "Eukaryotic large subunit ribosomal RNA", at positions 23 to 626 of the family's 3401-position model. Lineage: Eukaryota; Fungi; Neocallimastigomycota; Neocallimastigomycetes; Neocallimastigales. The record is from RNAcentral.